RNAcentral lists this ribosomal RNA (614 nucleotides) under Tausonia pullulans. RNAcentral's name for it is "LSU rRNA". It matches the Rfam family "Eukaryotic large subunit ribosomal RNA", at positions 70 to 671 of the family's 3401-position model. Lineage: Eukaryota; Fungi; Basidiomycota; Tremellomycetes; Cystofilobasidiales; Mrakiaceae. The record is from RNAcentral.
UAGGAUCCCUAGUACGGCGAGUGAAGCGGGAUGAGCUCAAAUUUAAAAUCUGGCGGUCUCAGAUCGUCCGAGUUGUAGUCUAGAGAAGCGUUUUCCGUGCUGGCCUGUGUACAAGUCCGUUGGAACACGGCGUCAUAGAGGGUGAGAAUCCCGUCCUUGACACAGAUCUCCAGUGCUUUGUGAUGCGCUCUCAAAGAGUCGAGUUGUUUGGGAAUGCAGCUCAAAAUGGGUGGUAAAUUCCAUCUAAAGCUAAAUAUUGGCGAGAAACCGAUAGCGAACAAGUACCGUGAGGGAAAGAUGAAAAGCACUUUGGAAAGAGAGUUAAACAGUACGUGAAAUUGUUGAAAGGGAAACGAUUGAAGUCAGUCAUGCUUUCCGAGACUCAGCCGGUUCUGCCGGUGUACUUCUCGGUUUGCAGGCCAGCAUCAGUUUUGGGCGGUGGAAAAGGUUGGCGGGAAUGUGGCAUCCUCGGAUGUGUUAUAGCCCGCUUUCGAAUACAUCGCCCGGGACUGAGGAACGCAGCACGCCUCUUGUAGGUCGGUCUUCGGACACGUCCGUGCUUAGGAUGCUGGCAUAAUGGCUUUAAACGACCCGUCUUGAACNACGGACCAAAA